UUACGGUUACAUCACAUUCAAAACACCGGUUCCCGUACGAUCACCGAAGUUAAGCAACGUCGAGCUUGGUUAGUACCUAGAUGGGUGACUGAUUUGAAAUACCAAGUGUUGUAAG
Molecule: non-coding RNA, 115 nt
Organism: Acanthosepion pharaonis
Lineage: Eukaryota; Metazoa; Mollusca; Cephalopoda; Sepiida; Sepiidae
Source: the annotation of a GenBank genome assembly